Molecule: ribosomal RNA, 468 nt
Filed under: uncultured bacterium
Lineage: Bacteria
Description: partial 16S ribosomal RNA
Rfam family: Bacterial small subunit ribosomal RNA
Source: RNAcentral
GACGAACGCUGGCGGCGUGCUUAACACAUGCAAGUCGAACGGAAAGGCCCUGCUUUUGUGGGGUGCUCGAGUGGCGAACGGGUGAGUAACACGUGAGUAACCUGCCCUUGACUUUGGGAUAACUUCAGGAAACUGGGGCUAAUACCGGAUAGGAGCUCCUGCUGCAUGGUGGGGGUUGGAAAGUUUCGGCGGUUGGGGAUGGACUCGCGGCUUAUCAGCUUGUUGGUGGGGUAGUGGCUUACCAAGGCUUUGGCGGGUAGCCGGCCUGGGAGGGUGAACGGGCACAAUGGGACUGAGGGACGGCGCAGACUGCUACGGGAGGCAGCAGUGGGGAAUAUUGCACAAUGGGCGGACGCCUGAUGCAACAACCCUGCGGGCGGGAUGCCGGCCUUCGGGUUGUGAACAGCUUUCGCCUGUGACGAAGCGGGAGUGACGGUAAUGGGUGAAGAAGCACCGGCUAACUACGUG